Molecule: ribosomal RNA, 414 nt
Filed under: Streptomyces sp. SID9727
Lineage: Bacteria; Bacillati; Actinomycetota; Actinomycetes; Kitasatosporales; Streptomycetaceae
Description: partial 23S ribosomal RNA
Rfam family: Bacterial large subunit ribosomal RNA
Source: RNAcentral
UUGGCACCUCGAUGUCGGCUCGUCGCAUCCUGGGGCUGGAGUCGGUCCCAAGGGUUGGGCUGUUCGCCCAUUAAAGCGGUACGCGAGCUGGGUUUAGAACGUCGUGAGACAGUUCGGUCCCUAUCCGCUGUGCGCGUAGGAAUAUUGAGAAGGGCUGUCCCUAGUACGAGAGGACCGGGACGGACGAACCUCUGGUGUGCCAGUUGUUCUGCCAAGGGCAUGGCUGGUUGGCUACGUUCGGAAAGGAUAACCGCUGAAAGCAUCUAAGCGGGAAGCCUGCUUCGAGAUGAGUAUUCCCACCAACUUGAUUGGUUAAGGCUCCCAGUAGACGACUGGGUUGAUAGGCCAGAUGUGGAAGCCCGGUAACGGGUGGAGCUGACUGGUACUAAUAGGCCGAGGGCUUGUCCUCAGUUG